RNAcentral lists this ribosomal RNA (170 nucleotides) under Salmonella enterica subsp. enterica serovar Oslo. RNAcentral's name for it is "partial 23S ribosomal RNA". It matches the Rfam family "Bacterial large subunit ribosomal RNA", at positions 2748 to 2925 of the family's 2925-position model. Lineage: Bacteria; Pseudomonadati; Pseudomonadota; Gammaproteobacteria; Enterobacterales; Enterobacteriaceae. The record is from RNAcentral.
GCUACGUACGGACGGGAUAAGCGCUGAAAGCAUCUAAGCGUGAAGCCCCCCUCAAGAUGAGAUUUCCCAGUAUGUAAGACCCCUUGAAGACGAUGAGGUAGAUAGGUUGGAGGUGGAAGUGCAGCAAUGCAUGGAGCUGACCAAUACUAAUCGGUCGAGGGCUUAUCCAA